AACGCUAGCUACAGGCUUAACACAUGCAAGUCGAGGGGCAGCAUGAUUGAAGCUUGCUUCAAUUGAUGGCGACCGGCGCACGGGUGAGUAACACGUAUCCAACCUGCCGAUAGCUCGGGGAUAGCCUUUCGAAGGAAAGAUUAAUACCCGAUAGUAUAGUAUUUCCGCAUGGUUUCACUAUUAAAGAAUUUCGGUUAUCGAUGGGGAUGCGUUCCAUUAGAUAGUUGGCGGGGUAACGGCCCACCAAGUCAACGAUGGAUAGGGGUUCUGAGAGGAAGGUCCCCCACAUUGGAACUGAGACACGGUCCAAACUCCUACGGGAGGCAGCAGUGAGGAAUAUUGGUCAAUGGACGAGAGUCUGAACCAGCCAAGUAGCGUGAAGGAUGACUGCCCUAUGGGUUGUAAACUUCUUUUAUACGGGAAUAAAGUGGAGUAUGCAUACUCCUUUGUAUGUACCGUAUGAAUAAGGAUCGGCUAACUCCGUGCCAGCAGCCGCGGUAAUACGGAGGAUCCGAGCGUUAUCCGGAUUUAUUGGGUUUAAAGGGAGCGUAGGCGGGUGCUUAAGUCAGUUGUGAAAGUUUGCGGCUCAACCGUAAAAUUGCAGUUGAUACUGGGCGCCUUGAGUGCAGCAUAGGUAGGCGGAAUUCGUGGUGUAGCGGUGAAAUGCUUAGAUAUCACGAAGAACUCCGAUUG
This 693-nucleotide ribosomal RNA is filed under the name uncultured bacterium. RNAcentral's name for it is "bacterial SSU rRNA". It matches the Rfam family "Bacterial small subunit ribosomal RNA", at positions 32 to 715 of the family's 1533-position model. The record is from RNAcentral.